Molecule: ribosomal RNA, 244 nt
Filed under: uncultured bacterium
Lineage: Bacteria
Description: partial 16S ribosomal RNA
Rfam family: Bacterial small subunit ribosomal RNA
Source: RNAcentral
AAGGGAGCGCAGGCGGACGGCCAAGUCCUUCUUAAAAGUUCGGGGCUCAACCCCGUGAUGGGAGGGAAACUGGUGGUCUUGAGUGCAGGAGAGGAAAGCGGAAUUCCUAGUGUAGCGGUGAAAUGCGUAGAUAUUAGGAGGAACACCAGUGGCGAAGGCGGCUUUCUGGACUGCAACUGACGCUGAGGCUCGAAAGCCAGGGGAGCGAACGGGAUUAGAUACCCCGGUAGUCCUGGCCGUAAAC